UACGGAGGGUGCGAGCGUUAAUCGGAAUUACUGGGCGUAAAGCGCGCGUAGGCGGUUUGAUUAGUCGGGUGUGAAAGCCCCGGGCUUAACCUGGGAAUUGCAUUCGAUACUGUCAGGCUCGAGUCUAGGAGAGGGAAGCGGAAUUCCGGGUGUAGCGGUGAAAUGCGUAGAUAUCCGGAGGAACAUCAGUGGCGAAGGCGGCUUCCUGGCCUAAGACUGACGCUGAGGUGCGAAAGCGUGGGGAGCAAACAGG
Molecule: ribosomal RNA, 253 nt
Filed under: uncultured bacterium
Lineage: Bacteria
Description: partial 16S ribosomal RNA
Rfam family: Bacterial small subunit ribosomal RNA
Source: RNAcentral